Long non-coding RNA from Dreissena polymorpha, 3054 nucleotides. RefSeq lists it as uncharacterized. NCBI's taxonomy places the organism in Eukaryota, Metazoa, Mollusca, Bivalvia, Myida, Dreissenidae. The transcript has 4 exons. The record is from RefSeq and is a predicted model, not a curated record.
CCACGAGCUUUCAAACGGUUGAGAUCCGGUGCCCAAGACAGGAGAAAAGUGAACCGUAUUGCUGGGGACUCCAAUGCUCAUCGGAUUAAGGAUAUUCUUCCUGACGAUAUAGCUGUCAAAUGCCUGCCAAUCUCUGGUGCCAAAUUUUCUUGUGAUCGUUUUCGCCAUGCAUUGUUGAGAGACUUGCGGAAGAUGGAUGUUCAACAGCUGUAUCUUCAUCUAGGCUCAAAUGACAUUCUUACGAAUGAAGCGGUGUUUUACCGGAGGCGCACAAUCGGUGUCCAGAAUGCAGGGUUGUUUGCUCCAACGAUGACGCUUUGCUGAGCCACUUCUGCAGUCGCCAUAUCAAGCAACCAGAGACUGGAAAAGAGAGUAAAAUUAAGCUGAUAGGCUCACCAAUGGUAUGACUUUCAAUCACUUACUUGUGUAUGCUUGACAAGCAUUUUAUGUACAAAUAAAGUAACAAAAAAGGAGGUCAACACAUGCACUUUCCCAUAUAAUGCUUUCUGUAUCUUUUAGCAACUAAUGACACGAUUUUGUGUUGACAUACUCAAUAUGAUAGUUAUAGCCCUAUAUAACUGGUAUGUUCAUUUUAGUUAAUCUUUCUAUUUUAAUUAAACCUGUUUGUUUAGCUAGAUUGCUUGAAAAACACAACCAGGAUUAUUUUUAUGCCCCCGGAUCGAAAGAUCAGGGGUAUAUUGUUUUUGGCCUGUCUGUCAUUGUAUGUGUCCGUGUGUGUGUGUGUGUUCCAAAACUUUAACCAAAACUUUAACCUUCUUCAUAACUUUUGCAAUAUUGAACGUAGCAACUUGAUAUUUGGCAUGCAUGUGUAUCUCAUGGAGCUGCACAUUUUGAGUGGUGAAAGAUCAAGGUAAUCCUUCAAGGUCAAAGGUAAAAAAAAUUAAUCAAAGUGGCGCAUUAGGGGGCAUUGUGUUUCUGACAACCACAUCUCUUGUUAGCAUUGUCUUACCCCUGUUACAUGCAAUGUACAUGUGGCUUAUUAAAUUGGAAACCCUGGUUUGCAUGAGAAUAUUUUGCAAAACAUUGUUGAAAAAAACAUACAUGUAUACAAACUUAGUCAUUACUGUUAGUAUAAUGAGCACCUCUAUUUCUGAAUAUUUUGAUUGGAUGGUUAUGGGCCUUUAUGCGUGUGUCACAUUUAUGUAUGUGAAAGUGUGUAAUUAGACAAAAGAAUUUUUUAUUUUUUUAUUUUUUGGGUAACAAUCACUUAUUUUAGAGUUAUUUAUAAGUAAAUCUUACAGAUUGCAUCUGCUAAUCAUGAACUCAACAAAGUCAGCUCAAGGAAGUGGAAGGCAUGCUUGGAAAUAGAAGUUUCCAUUAUGAAGGCAAAUUUUAGUAUAUUUCAAAUUUGUAACCAAAUGAAGUGUCAAGAUCUUAAAUGAAAAUUUGAUUGAACAUUAGUUAUCUGUCAAGAGAAUCAUUUUGAAGCGAAUAAAUUAAGUAUUGCCUAUUGUCUAUAAGUUUAUUGUGUGACCUGAACCCUGUGAGGGAUAUUACUUAUUUGUAAACGCCGGUUUUUAAAAACGGGACGUAUUAUAGUUUCACCCUUGGCGGGCGGCGGCGUCCAUAACAGUGUCCGUUCUCUAAUUCAAAUAGUUUUCAUCCGAUCUUCACCAAACUUGGUCAGAAGUUGUAUCUAGACAAUAUCUAGGUCAAGUUCGAAUAUGGGUCAUGCCAGGUCAAAAACUAGGUCACGGGGUCACUUAGUGCAUUUGAAGGAUUUAGCAUUGGUGGCUCUCUAAUUGGAGUAGUUUUCAUUUGAUCUUUACCAAAUUUGGUCAUAAGUUGUGUGUAAAUGAUAUCUAGGUCAAGUUCAAAUAUGGGUCAUGCCGGGUCAAAAACUAGGUCGCGAGGUCACUAAGAGCAUUUCAUGCAUUUCGCAUGGUGUCUGCUCUCUUAUUGAAGUAGUUUUCAUCCAAUCUUCACAAACUUUGGUCAGAAGUUUUAUCUAGACAAUAUCUAGGUCAAGUUCAAUUAUGGGUCAUGCCGGGUCAAAAACAAGGUCAGGGGUUCACUUAGUACAUUUCAAGGAUUAAGCAUGGUGUCCGCUCUCUAAUUGAAGUAGUUAUCAUCCGAUCUUCACCAAAUUUGGUCAGAAAUUGUGUCAAAAUGUUAUCUAGGUCAAGUUCAAAUAUGGGUCACGCCAGGUCAAAAACUAGGUCACGAGGUCACUUAGUGCAUUUCAAGCAUUUAGCACGGUGUCCACUCUCUUAUUGAAGUAGUUUUCAUCUGAUCUUCAACAAAUGUGGUCAGAAGUUGUAUCUAGACAAUAUCUAGUUCAAGUUCAAAUAUGGGUCAUGCUGGGUCACAAACUAGUUCACAGGGUGCAUUUCAAGGAUUUAGCAUGGUGUAAGCUCUUUAAUUGAAAGAGUUUUCAUCCGAUCUUCACCAAAUUUGGGCAGAAGUUGUGUCUUAAUGAUAUCUAAGUCAAGUUCAGAUAUAGGUCAUGCCGGGUCGAAAACUAGGUCACUUAGUGCAUUUCCAGCGUUUAGCAUGGUGUCCAAAACCUUCAAACGGGUGUAUCUUGUGACAGUUUGGCACUCUUGUUUAUUACAUUAAAAGCCACUCACCUUGAAAUGAAAUACAUGUUAAUCAGUACAUAUAGAUGCAAUUUGAAAGUGUGCAAAAUUGUCAUUAAAUCUAUAGCCUAGUUAGCAAGUAAUUUAUUUUUUUAUAUUUUAAAACUGAAUGUAUGAUUUGUAUACGUACAUGUUCAAUUCAAGAAACACAAUUAUUUUUAAGUUUUAAAGCACAAAAAAGACGGAUUUCUACCUUGCAACCACCAGAUAUAUUCUAAUUGGCAAAGAUAAAAUAUGUUUCUUAUUUAUGUCCAAAUUUACUAUGCCAGAUAUUUCAUUUCAAGGUGUGUGGCUUUAAGGAAUGUUUUUUUAAAUGGGUAUAUUACCAAGAUCUGCACAGCCAGGAUGAUAUUAACCUUCAGAAGUUAAAGCUUUCUGAGAAUUUUAAGGCUUGCCUUUUAUACUUGAAAUGAUAAAUCAUUAACAUGUUUUUUUCUUUAGGAACUUACAAACA